RNAcentral lists this ribosomal RNA (422 nucleotides) under Coruna clavata. Its description in RNAcentral is "partial 16S ribosomal RNA". Lineage: Eukaryota; Metazoa; Arthropoda; Insecta; Hymenoptera; Pteromalidae. The record is from RNAcentral.
CUGCUCAAUGAAUUUAAUUAAAUAGCUGCAGUAUCCUGACUGUACAAAGGUAGCAUAAUCAAUUGUCUUAUUAUUUAAGUCUAGAAUGAAAGAUUGAAUGAAAUAAAAUCUGUCUCAAUUUAAUUAAAAUUUAAAUUUUAUUUUAAGUAAAAAUUCUUAAAUAUAUUUAAAAGACGAGAAGACCCUAUAGAAUUUUAUAAUAUUUAUAUUAAUUUAUAAAUAAAUUUAUAUAAAUUAAUAUAAAUUUAUUUUAUUGGGGUGAUGUAAAAAUUUAAUAAAUUUUUUAAAUAAAUUUAUAACAUAAUUAUUGAAAAAUUUUUAUCCAAUAAUAUUGAAAUUAAAAUAAAUUACCUUAGGGAUAACAGCGUUAAAUUUUUAGAGAGUUCAUAUUGAUAAAAAUUAUUGCGACCUCGAUGUUGAAU